This 513-nucleotide ribosomal RNA is filed under the name uncultured eukaryote. RNAcentral's name for it is "partial 18S ribosomal RNA". It matches the Rfam family "Eukaryotic small subunit ribosomal RNA", at positions 66 to 546 of the family's 1831-position model. The record is from RNAcentral.
CAACCGAUUUUGUACAGUGAAACUGCGAAUGGUUCAUUACAACAGUUAUAGUUUAUUUGAUCGUGCGGUACUACGUGGACAACCGUAGGAAAUCUAGAGCUAAUACAUGCACCAUCGUCUUAUGGGGAUAUUUUCGGAUUGAUUUUUUAAGGCGGGAUUUAUUAGAUCAAAAACCGAUCGCUUUUUUUUUUUUUUAAGGCGUGGCGGGGUGAAUCAUAAUAACUUUUCCAAAUCGCAAGGCUGCGAUAAGGCCGGCGAUAAAUCAUUCAAAUUUCUGCCCUAUCAACUUUCGAUGGCAGGGUAGUGGCCUACCAUGGUGUUGACGGGUAACGGAGAAUUAGGGUUCGAUUCCGGAGAGGGAGCCUGAGAAAUGGCUACCACAUCCAAGGAAGGCAGCAGGCGCGCAAAUUACCCAAUCCUGAUUCAGGGAGGUAGCGACAAGAAAUAACGAUAAUAGGCUUUAUGAGUCUAUUUAUUGGAAUGAGGAUAAUUUACACCCCUUCACGAGGAUCC